UAGGGAAUCUUCGGCAAUGGACGAAAGUCUGACCGAGCAACGCCGCGUGAGUGAAGAAGGUUUUCGGAUCGUAAAACUCUGUUGUUAGAGAAGAACAAGGACGUUAGUAACUGAACGUCCCCUGACGGUAUCUAACCAGAAAGCCACGGCUAACUACGUGCCAGCAGCCGCGGUAAUACGUAGGUGGCAAGCGUUGUCCGGAUUUAUUGGGCGUAAAGCGAGCGCAGGCGGUUUCUUAAGUCUGAUGUGAAAGCCCUCGGCUCAACCGGGGAGGGUCAUUGGAAACUGGGAGACUUGAGUGCAGAAGAGGAGAGUGGAAUUCCAUAUGUAGCGGUGAAAUGCGUAGAUAUAUGGAGGAACACCAGUGGCGAAGGCGGCUCUCUGGUCUGUAACUGACGCUGAGGCUCGAAGGCGUGGGGAGCAAACAGG
RNAcentral lists this ribosomal RNA (429 nucleotides) under Gemmatimonadota bacterium. RNAcentral describes it as "Gemmatimonadetes bacterium partial 16S ribosomal RNA". It matches the Rfam family "Bacterial small subunit ribosomal RNA", at positions 355 to 776 of the family's 1533-position model. Lineage: Bacteria; Pseudomonadati; Gemmatimonadota. The record is from RNAcentral.